Molecule: ribosomal RNA, 665 nt
Filed under: uncultured bacterium
Lineage: Bacteria
Description: bacterial SSU rRNA
Rfam family: Bacterial small subunit ribosomal RNA
Source: RNAcentral
UAACGCGUGGAUAACCUGCCUUACACUGGGGGAUAACNCUUAGAAAUAGGUGCUAAUACCGCAUAAGCGCACAGAGCCGCAUGGCUCAGUGUGAAAAACUCCGGUGGUGUAAGAUGGAUCCGCGUCUGAUUAGCUGGUUGGCGGGGUAGAAGCCCACCAAGGCGACGAUCAGUAGCCGGCCUGAGAGGGUGAACGGCCACAUUGGGACUGAGACACGGCCCAAACUCCUACGGGAGGCAGCAGUGGGGAAUAUUGCACAAUGGGGGAAACCCUGAUGCAGCAACGCCGCGUGAGUGAAGAAGUCAUUCGUGAUGUAAAGCUCUAUCAGCAGGGAAGAAAAUGACGGUACCUGAGUAAGAAGCCCCGGCUAACUACGUGCCAGCAGCCGCGGUAAUACGUAGGAGGCAAGCGUUAUCCGGAUUUACUGGGUGUAAAGGGAGCGUAGACGGCCAGACAAGUCUGAAGUGAAAAUCCAGCGCUUAACGUUGGAAGUGCUUUGGAAACUGCCGGGCUAGAGUGCAGGAGGGGCAGGCGGAAUUCCUAGUGUAGCGGUGAAAUGCGUAGAUAUUAGGAGGAACACCAGUGGCGAAGGCGGCCUGCUGGACUGCAACUGACGUUGAGGCUCGAAGGCGUGGGGAGCAAACAGGAUUAGAUACCCUGGUAGU